CCUACGUGAGGCAGCAGUGAGGAAUAUUGGUCAAUGGCCGGAAGGCUGAACCAGCCAAGCCGCGUGAGGGAGGAAGGCGCAGAGCGUCGCAGACCUCUUUUGCCGGGGGACAAAAGGCCGGACUCGUCCGGUCCUGAGGGUCCCCGGAGAAAAAGCAUCGGCUAACUCCGUGCCAGCAGCCGCGGUAAUACGGAGGAUGCGAGCGUUAUCCGGAUUCAUUGGGUUUAAAGGGUGCGUAGGCGGUUUUUUACGUUAGUGGUUAAACGUCGGGGCUUCACCUUGAUUUGCCAUUAAUACUGUAAGAUUCGAGUUCAGACGAGGUAGGCGGAAUAAGUUAAGUAGCGGUGAAAUGCUUAGAUAUAACUUAGAACUCCGAUAGUGAAGGCAGCUUACCAGACUGCGACUGACGCUGAAGCACGAGAGCGUGGGUAGCGAACAGGAUUAGAUACCCGGGUAGUC
This 459-nucleotide ribosomal RNA is filed under the name uncultured bacterium. RNAcentral's name for it is "partial 16S ribosomal RNA". It matches the Rfam family "Bacterial small subunit ribosomal RNA", at positions 338 to 795 of the family's 1533-position model. The record is from RNAcentral.